UAUGAAGGAAGAAGUGAGGAAGUCAGGAAAGAAGAAGCCAGGUAAUAACAAGGACCAGAAGAAGAACAAGGUGUCUCCUCUUGGCAAUGAUAGUACUGUGGCUGCAGAUGAGCCAAAGAAAAAACAGGCUCUCUUCCCGCGGAUCACAGCUGYCCUGGCAAAACUAUUUUGCUUCCCCUGCAAAAAAA
Molecule: non-coding RNA, 188 nt
Organism: Salvelinus sp. IW2-2015
Lineage: Eukaryota; Metazoa; Chordata; Actinopteri; Salmoniformes; Salmonidae
Source: RefSeq, a predicted model, not a curated record